This 650-nucleotide ribosomal RNA is filed under the name uncultured bacterium. RNAcentral's name for it is "bacterial SSU rRNA". It matches the Rfam family "Bacterial small subunit ribosomal RNA", at positions 82 to 768 of the family's 1533-position model. The record is from RNAcentral.
GUGAAUCGGGGUGACGGCGGACGGGUUAGUAACGCGUGGGAAUAUGCCCAGAUCUGCGGAAUAGCCUCUGGAAACGGAGAGUAAUACCGCAUACGCCCUUCGGGGGAAAGAUUUAUCGGAUUUGGAUAGCCCGCGUUGGAUUAGGUAGUUGGUGGGGUAAUGGCCUACCAAGCCGACGAUCCAUAGCUGGUUUGAGAGGAUGAUCAGCAACACUGGGACUGAGACACGGCCCAGACUCCUACGGGAGGCAGCAGUGGGGAAUCUUAGACAAUGGGGGAAACCCUGAUCUAGCCAUGCCGCGUGAGUGACGAAGGCCCUAGGGUCGUAAAGCUCUUUCGCCAGGGAAGAUAAUGACGGUACCUGGUAAAGAAACCCCGGCUAACUCCGUGCCAGCAGCCGCGGUAAUACGGAGGGGGUUAGCGUUGUUCGGAAUUACUGGGCGUAAAGCGCGCGUAGGCGGACUAUUAAGUUAGAGGUGAAAUCCCUGGGCUCAACCCUGGAACUGCCUUUAAUACUGGUAGUCUUGAGUUCGAGAGAGGUGAGUGGAAUUCCGAGUGUAGAGGUGAAAUUCGUAGAUAUUCGGAGGAACACCAGUGGCGAAGGCGGCUCACUGGCUCGAUACUGACGCUGAGGUGCGAAAGCGUGGGGAG